RNAcentral lists this ribosomal RNA (477 nucleotides) under uncultured bacterium. RNAcentral describes it as "partial 16S ribosomal RNA". It matches the Rfam family "Bacterial small subunit ribosomal RNA", at positions 30 to 507 of the family's 1533-position model. The record is from RNAcentral.
AUUGAACGCUGGCGGCAUGCCUUACACAUGCAAGUCGAACGGUAACAGGUUAAGCUGACGAGUGGCGAACGGGUGAGUAAUGUAUCGGAACGUGCCCAGUCGUGGGGGAUAACUGCUCGAAAGAGCAGCUAAUACCGCAUACGACCUGAGGGUGAAAGCGGGGGAUCGCAAGACCUCGCGCGAUUGGAGCGGCCGAUAUCAGAUUAGGUAGUUGGCGAGGUAAAGGCUCACCAAGCCGACGAUCUGUAGCUGGUCUGAGAGGACGACCAGCCACACUGGGACUGAGACACGGCCCAGACUCCUACGGGAGGCAGCAGUGGGGAAUUUUGGACAAUGGGCGCAAGCCUGAUUCAGCCAUGCCGCGUGCGGGAAGAAGGCCUUCGGGUUGUAAACCGCUUUUGUCAGGGAAGAAAAGGUUCUGGCUAAUACCUGGGACUCAUGACGGUACCUGAAGAAUAAGCACCGGCUAACUACGUG